Molecule: ribosomal RNA, 253 nt
Filed under: uncultured bacterium
Lineage: Bacteria
Description: partial 16S ribosomal RNA
Rfam family: Bacterial small subunit ribosomal RNA
Source: RNAcentral
UACGUAGGGUGCGAGCGUUAAUCGGAAUUACUGGGCGUAAAGCGUGCGCAGGCGGUUCGUCGUGUCUGAUGUGAAAGCCCCGGGCUCAACCUGGGAAUGGCAUUGGAAACUGGCGGACUAGAGUGUGGCAGAGGGGGGUGGAGUUCCGCGUGUAGCAGUGAAAUGCGUAGAGAUGCGGAGGAACACCGAUGGCGAAGGCAGCCCCCUGGGCUAACACUGACGCUCAGGCACGAAAGCGUGGGGAGCAAACAGG